GGACUGUAUGAAGAAAGCUGCACACUAGUAUAUGACAACCCUUUAUGGGACGCAAAGGACUCUACGAAGUCAAAGGCUUUAAGCCAUAAGAAUAAAUUCAAAUCCAUGGCUAUAAAAAGAUCCAAAGAGGUCUGCAAAGUAGUUCACAUUAUGAAUUUUCCCGACUUGCCGAGGUGGCAUAUUCCAAUGGAGGUUCGUAAGAUAAAAUCGCGUAUGAAAAUCUGUGUAUAUGUGUUAACAUUGAUGUCACAACACAUAUGAGAUCCGUUUGAUACAUCCGCUAAGAAUGAGCUAUCUGUUUAUGCAAGUUCGUAUGUGCAAGAUAUUAUAAACCGUUAGGACUAUAUUACAUAUAGGAUUCUGCAAUAGGCGAUUCG
This 377-nucleotide long non-coding RNA is filed under the name Gossypium raimondii (Peruvian cotton). Its description in RNAcentral is "long non-coding RNA (GRAI_LNC000521)". The record is from RNAcentral. Lineage: Eukaryota; Viridiplantae; Streptophyta; Magnoliopsida; Malvales; Malvaceae.